Molecule: transfer RNA, 73 nt
Organism: Candidatus Entotheonella sp.
Lineage: Bacteria; Pseudomonadati; Candidatus Tectimicrobiota; Candidatus Entotheonellia; Candidatus Entotheonellales; Candidatus Entotheonellaceae
Rfam family: tRNA
About the family: Transfer RNA (tRNA) molecules are approximately 80 nucleotides in length. Their secondary structure includes four short double-helical elements and three loops (D, anti-codon, and T loops).
Source: Rfam
CGGGCACAGGUGCAGAUGGGAGCACGCCUGCUUUGGGAGCAGGAAGUUCUUGGUUCGACUCCAAGGUGCCCGA